Molecule: long non-coding RNA, 721 nt
Filed under: Prunus persica (peach)
Lineage: Eukaryota; Viridiplantae; Streptophyta; Magnoliopsida; Rosales; Rosaceae
Description: long non-coding RNA (PPER_LNC003836)
Source: RNAcentral
UUUGGGGCAGUGACUGGUGUUUUCGGGUUGGUCGUACUAAGACGAGUCCGCAGACACGCGGUAGGCUUGAAUCGGAGUUGUAACGAAGAAAUAGUGAUCAAAAUACUUUCAGUGGCAAAACUGUAAAUAUUUCCAAAAGAGUUAGUAAAAAUCAUAUUUUUCACCCUCCUUCUCUCUCCUCGCGCGCACAGCUCUCUCUCCCUCUCCUUUCUCUCUCCCCGAAAUUGUCACUCUCCUUCUCUCUCUUUGAUUCUUGCCGCACCGUCCACAGAGGGACGUGAGACCGGUCCCGAUCGACUACUCUCGAAGCCCCGAACCCGAACCACCAGUUUUCCCCUCCGAAAAUCUCGAAUCUUGACCACGGUAUCGACUGGUUUUUCUUCAGUUUUUCCUGUCGUUGCGCCUCCGCCUCCCGAUCCCGGUGAAAAAGGUGAGGGUUCUUCCUCUUUUUACAUGCUCUAGCUGUGUAUGGGGUUGGAUUGGAUCGUUUUGCUGUCUAGAAUUCCGAUUUUGAAACCUUGGUUUUGGCCGAAUUUCAAAGUGAAAUUCUAGCUAGUUACUGUUCGAAUUAGACUUUUCCAUAGUUGAAUAAAGUGAUCCUUGUUUCGAGUAGUAGCUAGGGUAGGAAGGGUGGAUCAGGGUGUGGAGUUUUUCCGUCGCCAGAAAUUACUUUACACACCCACGCACUGCCGAUGCAUGUGGCGGUGCUUGGGCAAGGGUG